AAUUCAGCACAACUAUCUUAUGACUACCAGCCAAUACGUUAUCCUGCAUACUUAGAUCAUAUAUCAUAGCAAUGCCUUUAUUUGACCGUUAAUAACAAUAUAUCUGCAAAAGCUGUUUCUUAACGUCUCAGUUAAGUUUGAAUAUGACGUGUAAACACCAUAUCACAUGAUAGGAUCACGUGAGUUUUCAAAUCGAUCUGGUAACCACUACGGUAGAUAGCUGUUUCGAUUCUUGUCAGGUUCACGCUGGCUCGACGAACUAGCUAGCUACAGAGUUUACAAUCACCAAUCUAGCCAGAGUUAGACUUUUACAACAAAUUGGGGCGGGAGAGAUUUUCAUAACUUCGAUGCAACCAAUAUAGUUUUUACAUUGUGCUAGUCCAGCACAAUGUAAACUGCAUCGAAUCUAGGUCAUUUGCAUAUUUUCAGGGGUGCUGAGUUCUAAAUCGAAUGUGCUGCUUGUGCUGAGGAAGGAGAGGUGGAAGAGCAGCAUAGACCUCUAUGCAAAUGUUUCAAAAACCUGAGCCCUAGGACCAUACGUCAGGACUACCGGGCAUGCUGACACCUUGCUGUCCCCAGUCCGCCCGGCCUUGCUGCUAUUCCAGUUUCAACUGUUUCUGCCUGCGGUUACGAAACCCCUACCUGUCCCAGACCUGCUGUUUUCAACUCUUAAUGAUCGGCUAAGAAAAGCCAACUGAGAUUUAUUCCUGAUUAUUAUUUGACCAUGCUUGUCAUUUAUGAACAUUUUGAAAAUCUUGGCUCUCUCUAAUUUUCUCCUUCUCUCUUUCU
Salvelinus fontinalis (brook trout) is the source of this 789-nucleotide long non-coding RNA. RefSeq lists it as uncharacterized. The record is from RefSeq and is a predicted model, not a curated record. Lineage: Eukaryota; Metazoa; Chordata; Actinopteri; Salmoniformes; Salmonidae. The transcript is spliced from 3 exons.